AUGGAGCUCUGGCCCUUAGGAUGGGAAAAACAGCCUUCAGAAAUUGGAGUUCAAGAGACACCAGAUGAUUAGGAUGGAGAACCUAUCGUACCUGUGGGACAGGACAGAAGAGCAUGAGGAAGACUCAUAGGAGAGGAGUAAUGGCCUUAAGUUGCAUCAGGAAAGAUUCAGGUUGGAUAUUUGGAAAAAUGUCUUCUCAGAAAGAGUGGUGAGGCACUGGCACAGGCUGCCCAGGGAGAUGGUGGAGUCACUGUCACUGGAGGUGCUCAAGAAAUGUGUGGAUGUGGCACUGAGGGACAUGGUUUAGUGGGCACAGUGGGGUGGGUCAAAGAUUCGAUUAGAUGAACUUAUUCGUCUUUUCCAGCCUUAAUGAUUCUAUGAUUCUAUAACUCUGCAGCAAUACCUGCAAUGGUCCCAGGCUUCCUUGGUGAUCAUCCUCCAAAAUCCUCCAAAAUCUGAGGCUGCCAGUCUGCCCUCACACUGCAUGCCCAUUGCAAGCCUCAUGCCAAAAUGCAAAGGGUGUUCUUUCGUUAAUCUGCUAAGAAAUAAAGACAGUCACUGCCCUGAAGGCUUACAGUCUGAAAGACGGAUA
This 592-nucleotide long non-coding RNA is filed under the name Numida meleagris (helmeted guineafowl). RNAcentral's name for it is "lncRNA (ENSNMEG00000013339.1)". The record is from RNAcentral. Lineage: Eukaryota; Metazoa; Chordata; Aves; Galliformes; Numididae.